UACGGAGGGAGCUAGCGUUGUUCGGAAUUACUGGGCGUAAAGCGCACGUAGGCGGCUUUGUAAGUUAGAGGUGAAAGCCCGGAGCUCAACUCCGGAACUGCCAUUGAAACUGUGAGACUUGAGGACGAGAGAGGUGAGUGGAAUUCCCAGUGUAGAGGUGAAAUUCGUAGAUAUUGGGAAGAACACCGGUGGCGAAGGCGGCUCACUGGCUCGUAUCUGACGCUCAGGCGCGACAGCGUGGGGAUCAAACAGG
This 253-nucleotide ribosomal RNA is filed under the name uncultured bacterium. RNAcentral's name for it is "partial 16S ribosomal RNA". It matches the Rfam family "Bacterial small subunit ribosomal RNA", at positions 524 to 776 of the family's 1533-position model. The record is from RNAcentral.